CUACGGGGGGCUGCAGUGAGGAAUAUUGCACAAUGGGGGGAACCCUGAUGCAGCAACGCCGCGUGGAGGAUGACGCAUUUCGGUGUGUAAACUCCUUUUAUAUGUCAAGAAAAUGACGGUAGCAUAUGAAUAAGCACCGGCUAACUCCGUGCCAGCAGCCGCGGUAAUACGGAGGGUGCAAGCGUUACUCGGAAUCACUGGGCGUAAAGGACGCGUAGGCGGGUUGGAAAGUCAGGUGUGAGAUCCUACAGCUUAACUGUAGAACUGCACUUGAAACUUCUAAUCUAGAGUAUGGGAGGGGGAGGUGGAAUUAGUGGUGUAGGGGUAAAAUCCGUAGAUAUCACUAGGAAUACCUAAAGCGAAGGCGAUCUCCUGGAACAUUACUGACGCUAAGGCGUGAAAGCGUGGGGAGCAAACAGGAUUAGAUACCCCGGUAGUC
This 439-nucleotide ribosomal RNA is filed under the name uncultured bacterium. RNAcentral's name for it is "partial 16S ribosomal RNA". It matches the Rfam family "Bacterial small subunit ribosomal RNA", at positions 339 to 795 of the family's 1533-position model. The record is from RNAcentral.